This 261-nucleotide ribosomal RNA is filed under the name uncultured archaeon. RNAcentral describes it as "partial 16S ribosomal RNA". It matches the Rfam family "Archaeal small subunit ribosomal RNA", at positions 748 to 1008 of the family's 1478-position model. The record is from RNAcentral.
CAGCCGUAAACUAUGCGCGUUAGGUGUACUGGUGACCACGAGUCACCGGGUGCCGAAGGGAAACCGUGAAACGUGCCGCCUGGGAAGUACGGUCGCAAGGCUGAAACUUAAAGGGAAUUGGCGGGGGAGCACCACAACGGGUGGAGCCUGCGGUUUAAUUGGACUCAACGCCGGAAAUCUCACCGGAUAGGACAGACAUAUGAUAGUCGGGCUGAAGACUCUACUUGAUGAUCUGAGAGGAGGUGCAUGGCGUCAGUGACU